AAAUUCCAAAAAAGAAAAGGAGAAGGAGAAGACCCGACCACGAUCUCGGUCACGCUCCAAAUCAAGAUCCCGGACGCGGUCCCGCUCUCCUUCUCACACUCGACCUAGACGGCGCCAUAGAUCCCGAUCAAGAUCGUAUUCACCUAGAAGGCGGCCAAGCCCAAGAAGGCGGCCAUCUCCUCGAAGAAGAACUCCACCAAGAAGAAUGCCUCCUCCACCAAGGCAUAGAAGGAGUAGAUCGCCAGUGAGACGAAGAAGACGUUCGUCAGCAUCCUUGUCUGGGAGUAGCUCAUCAUCCUCUUCAUCUCGUUCACGGUCACCACCAAAGAAGCCUCCCAAGAGGACAUCCAGCCCCCCUCGGAAAACUCGUAGGUUAUCUCCUUCAGCAAGUCCUCCAAGGCGAAGGCACAGGCCAUCACCUCCUGCAACUCCACCACCCAAAACUCGGCAUUCCCCAACACCCCAGCAGUCAAACCGUACAAGAAAAAGUCGUGUUUCUGUGUCUCCAGGGAGAACUUCAGUGACAAAACAUAAAGGUACUGAGAAAAGAGAAUCCCCUUCACCAGCACCGAAGCCUAGAAAAGUAGAGUUAUCUGAAUCGGAAGAAGAUAAAGGUGGCAAAAUGGCUGCAGCAGAUUCUGUGCAGCAGAGACGCCAAUACAGACGACAAAACCAGCAGUCUUCAUCUGACUCUGGCUCCUCCUCCUCCUCAGAAGAUGAACGACCCAAGAGAUCCCAUGUGAAGAAUGGUGAGGUUGGCAGGCGGCGGAGACAUUCCCCUUCCCGGAGUGCUUCUCCAUCACCACGAAAGCGCCAAAAAGAGACUUCCCCUCG
RNAcentral lists this small RNA (834 nucleotides) under Pongo abelii (Sumatran orangutan). Its description in RNAcentral is "processed transcript". Lineage: Eukaryota; Metazoa; Chordata; Mammalia; Primates; Hominidae. The record is from RNAcentral.